This 250-nucleotide ribosomal RNA is filed under the name uncultured bacterium. RNAcentral's name for it is "partial 16S ribosomal RNA". It matches the Rfam family "Bacterial small subunit ribosomal RNA", at positions 524 to 773 of the family's 1533-position model. The record is from RNAcentral.
UACAGAGGGUGCAAGCGUUAAUCGGAAUGACUGGGCGUAAAGGGCGCGUAGGCGGUUAGAUAAGUUAGAUGUGAAAUCCCUGGGCUUAACCUAGGAACUGCAUUUGAUACUGUUUAACUAGAGUAGGGUAGAGGGAAGUGGAAUUUCCGGUGUAGCGGUGAAAUGCGUAGAUAUCGGAAGGAACACCAGUGGCGAAGGCGGCUUCCUGGACCUAUACUGACGCUGAGGCGCGAAAGCGUGGGGAGCAAAC